GUGGCCUAGUGGUUACAGCGUCCGCCUCGAAUGCGGAAGGUCGUGGGCUAAAUCCCCGGGUCAAGUCA
This is a non-coding RNA of Potamilus streckersoni, 68 nucleotides long. The record is from the annotation of a GenBank genome assembly. NCBI's taxonomy places the organism in Eukaryota, Metazoa, Mollusca, Bivalvia, Unionida, Unionidae.